GAUGACUGGAUGUGUAGAGCGC
RNAcentral lists this microRNA (22 nucleotides) under Oreochromis niloticus (Nile tilapia). Its description in RNAcentral is "oni-miR-10597d". The record is from miRBase by way of RNAcentral. Lineage: Eukaryota; Metazoa; Chordata; Actinopteri; Cichliformes; Cichlidae.